GCAUUGGUAGUUCAGUGGUAGAAUUUUUACCUUCCAUGCAGUAAACCCAGGCUAGAUUCUGGCCAGUGCA
Molecule: transfer RNA, 70 nt
Filed under: Loxodonta africana (African savanna elephant)
Lineage: Eukaryota; Metazoa; Chordata; Mammalia; Proboscidea; Elephantidae
Rfam family: tRNA
About the family: Transfer RNA (tRNA) molecules are approximately 80 nucleotides in length.
Source: Rfam by way of RNAcentral